This 253-nucleotide ribosomal RNA is filed under the name uncultured bacterium. RNAcentral's name for it is "partial 16S ribosomal RNA". It matches the Rfam family "Bacterial small subunit ribosomal RNA", at positions 524 to 776 of the family's 1533-position model. The record is from RNAcentral.
GACAGAGGGUGCAAACGUUGUUCGGAAUUACUGGGCGUAAAGCGAGUGUAGGCGGUGUGGUAAGUCGGAUGUGAAAGCCCCGGGCUCAACCCGGGAAGUGCACUCGAUACUGCCACGCUAGAGUAUCGGAGAGGUUGGUGGAAUUCCCGGUGUAGUGGUGAAAUGCGUAGAGAUCGGGAGGAACACCUGUGGCGAAGGCGGCCCCCUGGGCCGGCCCUGACACUGAGACGCGAAGGCGUGGGGAGCGAACGGG